Molecule: non-coding RNA, 97 nt
Organism: Trametes pubescens
Lineage: Eukaryota; Fungi; Basidiomycota; Agaricomycetes; Polyporales; Polyporaceae
Source: the annotation of a GenBank genome assembly
UCCCUGGUAGUAUAUCGGUUAGUACACGCGCCUGUCAUUCCUGGGCAAUACUUGGUGACGUUCGCGCGAAAGCGGGGUUCGACUCCCCGCCAGGGAG